AAGCUCGUAGUUGAAUUUCGGGGUUAGUAGGUUGGUCAUGCCUCUGGUAUGUACUGGUCUCACUGAUUCCUCCUUCCUUAUGAACCGUAAUGCCAUUAAUUUGGUNUUGCGGGGAAUUUGGACUGUUACUUUGAAAAAAAUUAGAGUGUUUAAAGCAAGCUAACGCUUGAAUACAUUAGCAUGGAAUAAUGAAAUAGGACGUUCGAUCUUAUUUUGUUGGUUUCUAGGAUUGACGUAAUGAUUAAUAGGAUAGUUGGG
RNAcentral lists this ribosomal RNA (258 nucleotides) under uncultured Glomus. Its description in RNAcentral is "partial 18S ribosomal RNA". It matches the Rfam family "Eukaryotic small subunit ribosomal RNA", at positions 624 to 885 of the family's 1831-position model. The record is from RNAcentral. Lineage: Eukaryota; Fungi; Glomeromycota; Glomeromycetes; Glomerales; Glomeraceae.